GGAAGAAGACGACGAUAAAGAUGAAGAUAAUGUAGUGUUAGUUAUAAUAGAGGAAAAUGAAGAAAGAGAUACUGAAGAAGAUGAUGAAGAAGGAGAAGAAGAGACACGCUUUUGAAUAAUUGAAGAAGAAGAAGAAGGACGAGAAAUUUUUGGAGAUAUGGGAGCUUGUGAAAUCACAAGCUUAUCUUUAACACAUUCAUGGUU
This 204-nucleotide long non-coding RNA is filed under the name Nicotiana benthamiana. Its description in RNAcentral is "long non-coding RNA (NBEN_LNC033633)". The record is from RNAcentral. Lineage: Eukaryota; Viridiplantae; Streptophyta; Magnoliopsida; Solanales; Solanaceae.